AACGAACGUUGGCGGCGUGGAUUAGGCAUGCAAGUCGAGCGAGAACGCCACCUUCGGGUGGUUAGUACAGCGGCGAACGGGUGAGUAUCGCGUGGGGAACCUGCCCUCAGGUGGGGGAUAACAUUCCUAACGGAGUGCUAAUACCGCAUUACACGGCUGGGUCGCAUGGCCCGGCCGUCAAAGGUGGCCUCUGUUUCAAGCUGUCGCCUGAGGAUGGCCCCGCGUCCGAUUAGCUUGUUGGUGGGGUAACGGCUCACCAAGGCGACGAUCGGUAGCUGGUCUGAGAGGAUGGUCAGCCACACUGGGACUGAGAUACGGCCCAGACUCCUACGGGAGGCAGCAGUCGAGAGGCUUCGGCAAUGGGGGAAACCCUGACCGAGCGACGCCGCGUGGGGGACGAAGGCUUUCGGGUCGUAAACCCCUUUCAGUAGGGACGAAAACUUGUCGGGCUAAUACCCCGACGACUUGACGGUACCUGCAGAAGAAGCGCCGGCUAACUCCGUGCCAGCAGCCGCGGUAACACGGGGGGCGCAAACGUUGUUCGGAAUCACUGGGCGUAAAGGGCGCGUAGGCGGCCAGGCAAGUGAGAUGUGAAAUCCACCGGCUCAACCGGUGAACUGCAUCCCAAACUACCUGGCUUGAGGGCAGCAGAGGAGAUGGGAAUUCCCGGUGUAGCGGUGAAAUGCGUAGAUAUCGGGAAACACCAGUGGCGAAGGCGCGUCUCUGGGCUGCAUCUGACGCUAAGGCGCGAAAGCUGGGGGAGCGAACAGGAUUAGAUACCCUGGUAGUCCCAGCCGUAAACGGUGGGCACUAGGUGUAGGAGGUAUCGACCCCUCCUGUGCCGUAGCUAACGCAUUAAGUGCCCCGCCUGGGGAGUACGGCCGCAAGGUUGAAACUCAAAGGAAUUGACGGGGGCCCGCACAAGCGGUGGAGCAUGUGGUUUAAUUCGACGCAACGCGAAGAACCUUACCGGGGCUUGACAUGCACCGGAUCGGUGUGGAAACACACCUUCCUUUCGGGGCUGGUGUGCAGGUGCUGCAUGGCUGUCGUCAGCUCGUGUCGUGAGAUGUUGGGUUAAGUCCCGCAACGAGCGCAACCCUUGUCCUUAGUUGCUACCAGGUAAUGCUGAGCACUCUAGGGAGACUGCCGGUGGUAAACCGGAGGAAGGUGGGGAUGACGUCAAGUCCUCAUGGCCCUUACGCCCCGGGCUACACACGUGCUACAAUGGCCGGCACAAAGGGUUGCAAUACCGCGAGGUGGAGCUAAUCCCAAAAAACCGGUCUCAGUUCAGAUUGCAGUCUGCAACUCGACUGCAUGAAGGCGGAAUCGCUAGUAAUCGCGAAUCAGCAGGUCGCGGUGAAUACGUUCCCGGGCCUUGUACACACCGCCCGUCAAGCCACGAAAGUUGGCAGUGCCCGAAGUCGCUGCGGUAACCCGUAAGGGGACUAGGCGCCGAAGGUAAGGCCAGCGAUUGGGGCUAAGUCGAACAAGGUA
RNAcentral lists this ribosomal RNA (1494 nucleotides) under metagenome. Its description in RNAcentral is "bacterial SSU rRNA". It matches the Rfam family "Bacterial small subunit ribosomal RNA". The record is from RNAcentral.